UACGUAGGUGGCAAGCGUUGUCCGGAUUUAUUGGGCGUAAAGCGAGCGCAGGCGGAAUGAUAAGUCUGAUGUGAAAGCCCACGGCUCAACCGUGGAACUGCAUCGGAAACUGUCAUUCUUGAGUGCAGAAGAGGAGAGUGGAACUCCAUGUGUAGCGGUGGAAUGCGUAGAUAUAUGGAAGAACACCAGUGGCGAAGGCGGCUCUCUGGUCUGCAACUGACGCUGAGGCUCGAAAGCAUGGGUAGCGAAC
Molecule: ribosomal RNA, 250 nt
Filed under: uncultured bacterium
Lineage: Bacteria
Description: partial 16S ribosomal RNA
Rfam family: Bacterial small subunit ribosomal RNA
Source: RNAcentral